Long non-coding RNA from Eutrema salsugineum, 1221 nucleotides. RefSeq lists it as uncharacterized. The transcript is spliced from 3 exons. Lineage: Eukaryota; Viridiplantae; Streptophyta; Magnoliopsida; Brassicales; Brassicaceae. The record is from RefSeq and is a predicted model, not a curated record.
UCGUGGAAAGGGGUAGACAACUUUAGCGGCUAUGGCUGGUGUCUUGAACAAGGUGGAAUCCUAUUAUACAUGGGAUUGAAAGGCACAAGAAGGAGUUUAUCCCCCCUCCACUCAGAAUUAGAAUCACUGCUUUGGGCAAUGGAGUGUUUAUUGGAGAUCUCGCUGCCACACAUCGCCUUCAUCACUGACUGCGCAGACUUGCUCCACAUGAUCGAUAAUCCUUUGGAUUGGCUGGCUUUUGCCUCAGAGCUAGAGGAUGUGAUGGCCCUCAAGAAGCAAUUCUCGUCUUUCAUCAUAAAGCAAAUCUCCAGAGUUGAUAACACCCGUGCAGAUUUUCUCGCAAAGAAGGCUAGAUCGCGUGGAAUUAGUUUCUCCUACGUCAGCUCAACGGCUCCCGAUUGGCUUCCUCAAGUAGAAAGUCAAUAUCGGAACGUUUGUUGAGUGUGAUAUCGGUUAGGCGUCAAACAAAAAAAACACAUUCAGAUUUAUCAAAGUUGGGAAGAAAGAGAGGAAAUAAGAAAACCGUAUCUUUUCUACUUCUCUUCCUCUCUCUCGCUCUAACUAGAAGAUGGGAUAUUUCUCCAACAAGAUCUCCGAACUCAAGGCAGGAGAUUUACUCAUACCGUUCUUAUUUGUACAUCCAUCACGGUUCCAUCUCUUUCUCUAGGAAUCUAUGUAGGCGAUGGAAAAGUCUUUCAUUUCACUCGCAGAGGUGGUUUAGAAAUUGGAGCCGGAACUUUUUUAGACAUAAACAUCGAAUUUUCAGCUCCGAACCGGAACCCAUGUCUUAAUUGUGGAGAUCAAUCGAAUCUCGAAGGUGUAAUCUCUUCUUGCCUUAAGGGCACAGAGAGAAGCAACACAACUUUCUUCAAUUAAUGGCUCAAAUCAAUGGAAUUUCCUCCUCCGCCGUAGAGAUCCAAACGCCUCCAUAACUUCACCUUACCUUAUCUCCGUUGGGGCCAGCAGAGAUUCUUCAGGCUCAGUUAAAAAUAAAAAAGACCAAAAUACCCCUGCAGCAAACUAGAUCUAAAUCGAGAAUUCUCCGACUCUCACCUCUCACGACUCUCGUCUUUUCGUUUUCACUCCGGCAAUUCUUCUCUCUGGCGAGCUGGUUCUUCUCUCCGGCGAGCUGGUUCUUCUCUCCGGCGAGCUUGUUCUUCUCUCCGACGAGAUUGUUCUUCUCUCCGACGAGCUGGUUCUUCUCCGACGGCUUCUUAAACA